Molecule: ribosomal RNA, 356 nt
Filed under: uncultured Acholeplasma sp.
Lineage: Bacteria; Bacillati; Mycoplasmatota; Mollicutes; Acholeplasmatales; Acholeplasmataceae
Description: bacterial SSU rRNA
Rfam family: Bacterial small subunit ribosomal RNA
Source: RNAcentral
AGUUCGGGGGACAGGUGGUGCAUGGUUGUCGUCAGCUCGUGUCGUGAGAUGUUGGGUUAAGUCCCGCAACGAGCGCAACCCUAUUGCUAGUUACCAUCAUUAAGUUGGGGACUCUAGCGAGACUGCCAGUGAUAAACUGGAGGAAGGUGGGGAUGACGUCAAAUCAUCAUGCCCCUUAUGACCUGGGCUACAAACGUGAUACAAUGGCUGGAACAAAGGGAUGCGAAGCAGUGAUGUGGAGCGAAACCCAUAAAAACAGUCUCAGUUCGGAUUGAAGUCUGCAACUCGACUUCAUGAAGUCGGAAUCGCUAGUAAUCGCGGAUCAGAACGCCGCGGUGAAUACGUUCUCGGGGUUU